This 422-nucleotide ribosomal RNA is filed under the name uncultured archaeon. RNAcentral describes it as "partial 16S ribosomal RNA". It matches the Rfam family "Archaeal small subunit ribosomal RNA", at positions 323 to 746 of the family's 1478-position model. The record is from RNAcentral.
CUACGGGGCGCAGCAGGCGAGAAAACUUUGCAAUGUGCGAAAGCACGACAAGGUUAAUCCGAGUGGUUUCUGCUAAAGGAACCUUUUGACAGUCCUAGAAACACUGUUGAAUAAGGGGUGGGCAAGUUCUGGUGUCAGCCGCCGCGGUAAAACCAGCACCUCAAGUGGUCAGGAUGAUUAUUGGGCCUAAAGCAUCCGUAGCCGGCUCUGAAAGUUUUCGGUUAAAUCUGUACGCUCAACGUACAGGCUGCUGGGAAUACUGCAGAGCUAGGGAGUGGGAGAGGUAGACGGUACUCGGUAGGAAGGGGUAAAAUCCUUUGAUCUAUUGAUGACCACCUGUGGCGAAGGCGGUCUACCAGAACACGUCCGACGGUGAGGGAUGAAAGCUGGGGGAGCAAACCGGAUUAGAUACCCCGGUAGUC